AUACGUAGGGGGCGAGCGUUGUCCGGAAUGAUUGGGCGUAAAGGGCGCGUAGGCGGCUUUGCAAGUCAGUAGUGGAAGUCCAUUUUUCAAGGAUGGAAGUGCUACAGAAACUGCGGAGCUUGAGUGCAGGAGAGGUUAUCGGAAUUCCCGGUGUAGCGGUGAAAUGCGUAGAGAUCGGGAGGAACACCAGUGGCGAAGGCGGGUAACUGGACUGCAACUGACGCUGAGGCGCGAAAGUGUUGGGAGCAAACAGGAUUAGAUACCCUGGUAGUCCACACUGUAAACGAUGAAUGCUAGGUGUAGGAGGUAUCGACCCCUUCUGUGCCGCAGUAAACACAGUAAGCAUUCCGCCUGGGGAGUACGGUCGCAAGAUUAAAACUCAAAUGAAUUGACGGG
RNAcentral lists this ribosomal RNA (396 nucleotides) under uncultured bacterium. RNAcentral's name for it is "partial 16S ribosomal RNA". It matches the Rfam family "Bacterial small subunit ribosomal RNA", at positions 523 to 917 of the family's 1533-position model. The record is from RNAcentral.